GACGAACGCUGGCGGCGUGCUUAACACAUGCAAGUCGAACGGACAGGCCCUGCUUUUGUGGGGUGCUCGAGAGGGGAACGGGUGAGUAAAACGUGUGUAACCUGCCCCUGACUUUGGGGUAACAUCAGGGAACUGGGGCUAUUACCGGAUAGGAGCUCCUGCUGCAUGGUGGUGAUUGGAAAGAUCCGGCGGUUGGGGAUGGACUCGCUGGUUAUCCGCUAGUUGGGGGAGUUGGGGAUUACAAAGGCUUUGACGGGUAGCCGGCCUGAGAGCGUGACCGGCCACAUUGGGACUGCGAGACGGCCCAGACUCCAACGUUAGGCAGCAGUCGAGAAUAUUGCGCAGCAGGCCGAAGCCUGUGGUAGCAACGCCGCGUGCGGAAUGACCGCUUACGAGUGAUAAACCGCUGUCUCCGGUGACGAAGACUGAGUGACGGUAAUGGGUAAAAAAGCACCGGCUAACUACGUG
RNAcentral lists this ribosomal RNA (468 nucleotides) under uncultured bacterium. RNAcentral describes it as "partial 16S ribosomal RNA". It matches the Rfam family "Bacterial small subunit ribosomal RNA", at positions 28 to 507 of the family's 1533-position model. The record is from RNAcentral.